CAGAGUUUCGCUCUUUUUGACCAAGCUGGAGUGCAAUGGCGUGAUCUCGGCUCGCUGCAAUCUCUGCCUUCCAGGUUCAAGUGAUUCUCCUGCCUCAGCCUUCUGAGUAGUUGGGAUUACAGGUGGCUUUUCUACAAUAUAAAGAUGGAAAUGGGAAGAAGAUGUUCAUUGCAAAUUAAGGAAGCUCUUCCACGAGUUCACGAAUGGAAAUAACAUCAAGAGUUUUUCAUCUUCUUAGUGUGCAAGGUA
This 249-nucleotide long non-coding RNA is filed under the name Homo sapiens (human). RNAcentral describes it as "ZRANB2 divergent transcript". Lineage: Eukaryota; Metazoa; Chordata; Mammalia; Primates; Hominidae. The record is from RNAcentral.